UGGGGAAUCUUGGACAAUGGGCGCAAGCCUGAUCCAGCCAUGCCGCGUGAGUGACGAAGGCCUUAGGGUUGUAAAGCUCUUUUUGCCGGGGACGAUAAUGACGGUACCCGGAGAAUAAGUCCCGGCUAACUUCGUGCCAGCAGCCGCGGUAAUACGAAGGGGACUAGCGUUGUUCGGAAUUACUGGGCGUAAAGCGCACGUAGGCGGAUUUGUCAGUCAGGGGUGAAAUCCCGGGGCUCAACCUCGGAACUGCCUUUGAUACAGCAAGUCUUGAGUCCGAUAGAGGUGGGUGGAAUUCCUAGUGUAGAGGUGAAAUUCGUAGAUAUUAGGAGGAACACCGGUGGCGAAGGCGGCCCACUGGAUCGGUACUGACGCUGAGGUGCGAAAGCGUGGGGAGCAAACAGGAUUAGAUACCCGCGUAGUCCCUGAGCGGGCUGGCAAGGCGCAU
RNAcentral lists this ribosomal RNA (448 nucleotides) under uncultured bacterium. RNAcentral's name for it is "bacterial SSU rRNA". It matches the Rfam family "Bacterial small subunit ribosomal RNA", at positions 355 to 825 of the family's 1533-position model. The record is from RNAcentral.